AAAAGAGCUGCCUGCAGGUUAACCUCAGACUUAUCUCCACCAUAUGGUACGGUCUGUUUUCACCUUGUGAAUCUGAGGCCCGGGUCAGAUUUCAUACAGUCCUGAGUGAUCUGAUCACAAUUACAGACAGUGAGAUGUUAAAUCUGCUGCAAGGAUGUUACGUUUUUUUUGUUUUUUUUGUUGAUUCUGGCGCCCCCUGUGGACAAAAGCAGAAUGAGCACCACCAUCUUACGUCAUAAAGAUCUCUGUACGGCUGUUGACCUGUUCAGAUCUGUUCGUCAUGCGUCUCCUGUUCCUGUCUGCAUCCCUGCGUCAGUCCUGUUUCUCGUGUUCCCGGCCCAUCGUUGGUUUAUCUUGUGUUUAAACCUUCUUCUUCUUCUUCUUCUUCUUCUUCUUCUGAUUCAAA
This is a long non-coding RNA of Acanthopagrus latus (yellowfin seabream), 406 nucleotides long. RefSeq lists it as uncharacterized. The record is from RefSeq and is a predicted model, not a curated record. The transcript is spliced from 4 exons. NCBI's taxonomy places the organism in Eukaryota, Metazoa, Chordata, Actinopteri, Spariformes, Sparidae.